Molecule: ribosomal RNA, 274 nt
Filed under: uncultured bacterium
Lineage: Bacteria
Description: partial 16S ribosomal RNA
Rfam family: Archaeal small subunit ribosomal RNA
Source: RNAcentral
AAACCAGCACCUCAAGUGGUCAGGAUGAUUAUUGGGCCUAAAGCAUCCGUAGCCGGCUCUGUAAGUUUUCGGUUAAAUCUGUACGCUCAACGUACAGGCUGCCGGAAAUACUGCAGAGCUAGGGAGUGGGAGAGGUAGACGGUACUCGGGAGGAAGGGGUAAAAUCCUUUGAUCUUUCGAUGACCACCUGUGGCGAAGGCGGUCUACCAGAACACGUCCGACGGUGAGGGAUGAAAGCUGGGGGAGCAAACCGGAUUAGAAACCCGAGUAGUCC